This 471-nucleotide ribosomal RNA is filed under the name Triticum aestivum (bread wheat). RNAcentral's name for it is "partial small subunit ribosomal RNA". Lineage: Eukaryota; Viridiplantae; Streptophyta; Magnoliopsida; Poales; Poaceae. The record is from RNAcentral.
AUGGCCAUUGGGCUAGAGGCUAGUCGACAGAGAUUCCUCUGGGUCGUGCGGAGCCCACCAAGCGAUGACACGAAGAUAGAGCCGGACUUGGAUGUGUUGCUUCCAAAAGGUUUCCUAGAACGAACCAAGGGCAGGGGCCUUGUCGUGAAGUCUUGGAAGCCAUGGGCAGGAGGCUGCACCUCUACUACGUCUUCAAGCCCGUCGCAACCCCACCGGAUCUCCUAUCCAGGUCUUGUACCUGCACAUCCACCUGUGGCCAGUGAGGAAGGGGGUCGAAGAUGCUGCUGCCGCCGCAUCGACGACCAACAGUUCAACGGAGAGGGCACAUGUGACACCCAUGACGGUCCUAGCCACCAACAAGGCCAACCGCAGCCGAUGUGCCACGCUGAGAGAAGGGGGGUGGGAUCGGUUGAUGCUGCUGUUGCUGCAAGACACAGAGAUGGAAGGUGUCAUAAAUAUUUAGAUAUUUGA